RNAcentral lists this ribosomal RNA (253 nucleotides) under uncultured bacterium. RNAcentral's name for it is "partial 16S ribosomal RNA". It matches the Rfam family "Bacterial small subunit ribosomal RNA", at positions 524 to 776 of the family's 1533-position model. The record is from RNAcentral.
UACGUAGGGUGCAAGCGUUGUCCGGAAUUCUUGGGCGUAAAGAGCUCGUAGGCGGUCUGUCACGUCUGCUGUGAAAACUCGGGGCUUAACCCCGGGCCUGCAGUGGGUACGGGCAGACUAGAGUGCGGUAGGGGAGACUGGAAUUCCUGGUGUAGCGGUGAAAUGCGCAGAUAUCAGGAGGAACACCGGUGGCGAAGGCGGGUCUCUGGGCUGUAACUGACGCUGAGGAGCGAAAGCGUGGGGAGCGAACAGG